UCCAUGGAAUGCUUUCAUACUGCUUGCUACUCGCAGUGUCGUGCUGUGCAUGCCUGCCUUCGAGGCAACAACCACCGUGCAUACAUUGUCCGGGUCGGGCUGGUAUCCUUUGCUGCUACUUGCUGAUGCUGAUAAGAAGAACUGCAGCUUUUAUCACCCCGGCCGAAAAGUCGUCUCUUGACUCGUUCGCGCUAGCUUCAAAGAUAGAGCUAAGCAGGCGAGGCCUAGACCGUCCAUGAUGGCGACAGGAGCUCGACUUCGAGCGGGCCUCCCCAGAGAUGGUAGCCAGAUCCGGCCAUUGAGCCCCCCCUAACCGAGCGGAUCCAAGGUCGGCUGCGGUGGUUGCAGAUGCUCCUCCGCAGCAGGAAAUGGUAGCAGCAAACGGAACGGGCCAACCGCAGCUGGUGGUGGACGAACACAAGACGAUUCUUGAAGAGGUCCCCAGAGAAGAAAAUGGCACCCUUUCUGCCGCCAAUUAUGCUGGCUGUCGGCCCCAAAUUAUGGUACAGCGCAUACGGAGGCUAACCUUCCAUUGGCAGCGCACAGAUCAUCCGGGGCGGACCUAUAAGAUGUCAAGUGUGUACGCCCCAACAACCCACAGAUGCGGCUCGACGCUCUCCAUCUGCAUGUCUCUUUAAUUAUCUCUAUAUAUAUGGAUAGACGACAACCUUCUAUCUAUGAAUUAUAUGUCAUGUCUCUUUAAUUAUCUCUAUAUCAAUGUCUACCUAUGUGAUAUAAGAUACCGUAGCAACGCACGUGCACCUAAUUAGUGAAUUUGGAAGUGUGACUUUAUAAAAAAAAUGAGUUAUAUGUUCAAGAUAAUGUUAGUAGUCAUACUAUUUAAAGUCCUUUUACUUUCUUAUUUGGAUGAGUCUUUUUUCACAUAUCUUCCUUCUUAAUGUACCAUUCAUGGUUCUAUUGAUAGCUCAAGGUCAUGAGAAUGUUGCCGCUGAGUACUACAAACAACAGGUGGAGAUGUUAGAGGGUUUUAGUGAGAUGGACGCAUUUACAUAUCGUGCUUUCCUACCUGUAAUGUCCAAGGAAGAACAGGAAAAAGUUGUCAGGAGUGAAUCAUUAGCCAUAUGGCUGUCUAAUAUUGCAAAUAUGGUUCUCUUUGCUGCAAAAGUAAACCCAAUUGGAAAAGCGUAUGCAGCCACUGAACCAGGGAAUGCAAGUUGGGAUUGCUUGGCUGGUCAUACGAGGUUUGAUCUGUUCUGGGUUUCAUGUAGGAAUCAAGGAACUAGCUGAGGUCUCCUUCCCUCAAGAUGACAAACAAACAGAAAAAACUACCCUCAAGGUGACCUAAACACAAAGGGAGCUACAUAAUACCCUACAAGACUAGACCAGUGCCCUCCUACCAUUGGCGGCAUGGGAUCUCGGUGAUGGAAGGGCAGGGGCAGCACAGGAUCUACUGCAUUUUUUACAACGCAGUGGCAGACAUUGGAGACGGGUUCGUGUGGGAUGCCGACUCCUAGCUCUACUGCCACGCCAGACACUCUUCCCAUAUGAACUUUUUGUGAAGCUCUAUAGCAAGGUUGAGUUGCACCCUUUUGGUCUUCAUAACCUUGGUAACAGGCCAAUUUAUGCUGGGAAUGCACUUUGUACUGUGAAAUAUACCGACGAGGAUCCUUGCAUGAUGAGUAUUAGAUCAACUUCAUUUUCCCCUACUGCUGAUGCUAUGUCUGAAACAAAGGUUGCACCUAUCACCCAGGGAAAUCUACAUGGGUGAAUCUGACAUCCCAAGACACAAAGCGGCAUGAUCUUGCAAAUGCAUGUGUAGUAGUCACAGGAGGCAGAGGUUUAAGAAGUGCUGAAAAUUUUAAGUUGUUGGAGCAGCUUGCGGAGAAAUUUGGUGCAGCAGCGGGCGCGACUAGGGCUGCUGUUGAAGCAGGUUAUGUUCCAAAUGACCUUCAGAGUUGCAGGAGAAGGCUGCAGCAGCUUGAAUCUCAGCUAAUGGAAGCGAACAGAAUCAAAGAGGAAGGCAACACUGGAAGUAUCCGAUGGAAGGAGAACAUAUUAGACCAAGAGAAUGAAUUACAGAACAUAAAACAAGAGAACGACGACCUGCAGACAAAGGAAUCAGCGGCUUCUGAGAAGAUUAAGGAACUCUCUUCCCAGCUUACUAAUGCAAAAUAUGGCAUGAUAAAUAGUAACACCAAGGAGAUAAUGAGAAGGGGGGCACUGAAGAGGACGAUGAACCUGUUGUAGUAGUUGCCAAAAUAUGGGAGAACAACAAGUUUGUUGACUAUGAUUCAUCUAAGGAGAAGGAGAAUGAUGGUGACUCACAGGUUGAUUUGGAAUCAAACAAGGGGGAUGCAGGUCUUGAUAGCAACGGGUUGCACUCAACUAAGGAGAACAGUGGCAGGGCAUCACCAACUAAACAACACCAGCAGUAUAAGAAGAAGUCUCUGCUGAAGAGAUUCGGUGGUCUGCUAAAAAAGAAAAGCGAAAAUUAGCAUAAAACUGUCUGAUGAUAUUCUUUGUUCUAUCAUUUGACAUAUUUUUUGUAAACCCUCUCAGAGAUGCUGAAAGCCAACUUACUAUUGAGAGUACUAUGAAACCUCUCGCGCAGUGUGAAAUAAAUGACAGAAAUGAAGUGUGUGUUGGUGUUGGUGCUGGUGCUGGAGACACUAACAUAACCGGUGGUAUUAUCCAAUUGUAUUGGAGUUCUAUUCUUGAAAGGUGCUUGGAUACAAACGAUCAAAGCUUGAAGGAGGCUUGAGUCAAUUGAAUCAUCUGUAAGUAAUUUAGAAGAAAUAUUGUUUUUGUUGGUGAAGCGAGUUUGUUCUUU
Zea mays is the source of this 2791-nucleotide RNA transcript. It is a transcript of the gene named metal tolerance protein 5-like, with no coding region annotated. The transcript is spliced from 14 exons. The record is from RefSeq and is marked validated. Lineage: Eukaryota; Viridiplantae; Streptophyta; Magnoliopsida; Poales; Poaceae.